UACGUAGGGUCCGAGCGUUGUCCGGAAUUACUGGGCGUAAAGCGUGCGCAGGCGGUUUUGUAAGUCUGACGUGAAAUCCCCGGGCUCAACCUGGGAAUUGCGUUGGAGACUGCAAGGCUGGAGUCUGGCAGAGGGGGGUAGAAUUCCACGUGUAGCAGUGAAAUGCGUAGAGAUGUGGAGGAACACCGAUGGCGAAGGCAGCCCCCUGGGUCAAGACUGACGCUCAUGCACGAAAGCGUGGGGAGCAAACAGG
RNAcentral lists this ribosomal RNA (253 nucleotides) under uncultured bacterium. Its description in RNAcentral is "partial 16S ribosomal RNA". It matches the Rfam family "Bacterial small subunit ribosomal RNA", at positions 524 to 776 of the family's 1533-position model. The record is from RNAcentral.